This 1240-nucleotide long non-coding RNA is filed under the name Sinocyclocheilus anshuiensis. Its description in RNAcentral is "lncRNA (ENSSANG00000025996.1)". The record is from RNAcentral. Lineage: Eukaryota; Metazoa; Chordata; Actinopteri; Cypriniformes; Cyprinidae.
GAACAGGGAUACACAAUGGAGAUCUACUCAUCAACUGCAUGUAUGACAACACAUUUUUGAAGUUCUAAGUUACCUAGUAUUUUGUGGAUUUGUUUAAUUUGUUCAUUUAUUUAUGUAUUUAUUUUUAUUUUAACAUUGUAUUUUUUAUUGCAGGUGUAGUGACAAUCUUGUACAUUUUUGCUACAGCCUCUGCGCAAGGUAUUUGCCAUCAUGACAGAGGGAGCCAGUGAGUGACCUCACACAGAGCGCUAACGCUGAGCCUCUGAGCACCGUUUCAUAAGAGAUUUUUUAUUUAUUUAUUACAUAUAUAUUUUAUCAUAGAACACUUAAAUGUAAAUUAAAAGAAUGAUUUGGUAAGAGUAAAAUGGGAGUAAUCUGUCUUGUUUAUAAUGUCAGCAGCAAUGCAGGUUUCAGUGGACAGAUGGAAGGCAGCCAUCAUCUGCACUGUUGUGGAAAUGUAUCUUACAAGAUCUCAGAAAGUUCCUGCUGUAAUGGAAAUGUAACUCUGGGAUUAAGCCAGCUGGUGGCUGACUGUUGUGAUUCUGUAGCUUACAAUCCCCUUAACGAGAUUUGCUGUGAUGGAAGGAUUCGGACUCGAAGCAGCACUCACAUGAAAUGCUGUGGCAAAGUCAUGUACCGGACAACGACUCAUUUGUGUUGUGGUGGCGGCAACAUAUUUCAAUGGAAGGAAAAUCAUUCUUGUUGUGGCAAAGAAACGUAUGACAUGACAACCCACUGCUGCUGUACUAACCUUACACUAGAAGUAAAGCCGAAAAAUGAAACUUGCUGUCCAAAAGCAAAAGACACUGAUGAAAGAACAGAAUGCCAGCAAGGCUCUCUUCCCACCCGAAAACUCUCCAAAAACUCAGAAUCGAAGUGUGGAUCAACACCCUACAAUCCCCAGAAACAAAUUUGUUGCUCAGUGAAUAUUCAUGAGAAGGCUUCAGCACUUACUAAGUGCUGUGGCAAAGAUGUUUACACUCUGUCAGAUGACAAUGUGCUGUGCUGUAAUGGAAUCCUUCAUCUCAAUGUGCCUGAGCAGUCAGAGUGUGUUGGAGGUGUUAUAUAUACUCCAUCAAACACUAUUUGCCAAAUGUCUGCUCGUCCCCGUCUUGGUAGGCACUGCUGUGGAAGACAAACCUUCAAUCCUCACACACAUAUUUGCUGUAACGGAUGCAGGUAGGCCUACAGAUUACAAAAAUUUGAUAUGAUUUAAAAGCAACUUUUAUGCCAGAUUUAC